UACGUAGGGUGCAAGCGUUAAUCGGAAUUACUGGGCGUAAAGCGUGCGCAGGCGGUUUUGUAAGUCUGUCGUGAAAUCCCCGGGCUCAACCUGGGAAUUGCGAUGGGAGACUGCAAGGCUAGAAUCUGGCAGAGGGGGGUAGAAUUCCACGUGUAGCAGUGAAAUGCGUAGAGAUGUGGAGGAACACCGAUGGCGAAGGCAGCCCCCUGGGUCAAGAUUGACGCUCAUGCACGAAAGGCGUGGGGAGCAAACAGG
RNAcentral lists this ribosomal RNA (255 nucleotides) under uncultured bacterium. RNAcentral describes it as "partial 16S ribosomal RNA". It matches the Rfam family "Bacterial small subunit ribosomal RNA", at positions 524 to 776 of the family's 1533-position model. The record is from RNAcentral.